Non-coding RNA from Myotis davidii, 75 nucleotides. The record is from Rfam. NCBI's taxonomy places the organism in Eukaryota, Metazoa, Chordata, Mammalia, Chiroptera, Vespertilionidae.
GGCAGUUCUCAGGUGACGCACCCCGGGAUCAGGCUCCUUCCUCUCUGGUUCUGGGUGCGUAACCCAAGAACCACA